AGAGUUUGAUCCUGGCUCAGAUUGAACGCUGGCGGCAUGCCUUACACAUGCAAGUCGAACGGUAGCGGGCCUUCGGGUGCCGACGAGUGGCGAACGGGUGAGUAAUGUAUCGGAACGUACCUUUCAGUGGGGGAUAACGUAGCGAAAGUUACGCUAAUACCGCAUAUUCUGUGAGCAGGAAAGCAGGGGAUCGCAAGACCUUGCGCUGAUUGAGCGGCCGAUAUCAGAUUAGCUAGUUGGUGGGGUAAAAGCUCACCAAGGGCGACGAUCUGUAGCGGGUCUGAGAGGAUGAUCCGCCACACUGGAACUGAGACACGGUCCAGACUCCUACGGGAGGCAGCAGUGGGGAAUUUUGGACAAUGGGGGCAACCCUGAUCCAGCCAUGCCGCGUGAGUGAAGAAGGCCUUCGGGUUGUAAAGCUCUUUCGGCCGGGGAAAGGAAAUCGCAUGGGUUAAAUACCCUGUGCGGAUGACGGAACCGGCAUA
Molecule: ribosomal RNA, 485 nt
Filed under: uncultured bacterium
Lineage: Bacteria
Description: bacterial SSU rRNA
Rfam family: Bacterial small subunit ribosomal RNA
Source: RNAcentral